CUGUCAAAAGACAUGUUUUUCAAAGAUAUGUGUAUUAUUUAUGUUUGUUUAAACAGUCUAAUCAAUUUGAGUUCAUUUAUUGUUUAAAGUAGAGAAUGUGCUCCCUUAGAAUGUUUAAUGUCAUGGGUUCUUUAAGAAAGAGUUAAUAUCAAAGCGUAACAGGUCAUAUGACCAGGUUGAGUUGAACGCGGGACCGCUGCAUUAUGGGUUGAAGAAACAUGGAUGCAGAGUAAUGUUAAUGGUAUACAGAGCCUGGAAAGGAGUAACCUUUAUCUGCAUGGUCUAAGAGGGCGCACACGUUUUCACGGUGUCUGCUGGAAAGAGACAGAGACAUAGAGACAAAUAAACAGCAAAAAGGACAUCUGUAUGAAGCGUGGCUCAUUUCAUUAGACCAGUGCAGUUACAGUGAAAACGUAACGCCAGCAAAGCCGACAGCGCCAAAUGUGGAACGGUACCCGUCGGAUCUGAAGAGAAAGCAACAUCGCGGCCGCUGGAGCAUCGCGUACAGACAAGAAGUCGGAGAAAAGGAAGAAUCACGAUCGCGGAACCAUCGCGCGGUCUGAGAUUGCAUCAGAGAGGAGACUUCCCCUUUCACAGUUGUCACAGCCAAGGAAAGUACCGCGACGCGAGCAGUAGAGGGCGACAUUCAUCCUUCUAGAUUACAGCCUUACAAGUAUCCUUCCUACAGGCUUCAGAGUACUGUGUUUAUUUCAUCGUUGUUUGAAGCAGAAGAGUUCUGCUGUGCAGUUAACUGCAGGUUUGACUGUGCUACUUCUACAUCUAUAUGGACAUUAAAAAAAAAAAAAAAAGGUAAAGUGUUAUAAAUAUAUUGCUUUAAUUGAUUUAUGCUUCAGCAUUGACAUUGUUGUGAAUGGUGAGUAAUUUGAUCUGAGAGUAAUAGUUAAGUAACCGUGUACUAAAGUGUUUUUGGAAAACAUUUACAAUGUCAGUCUAUGGAGAAAAAUCACAAUGUGGUGAAUCAAGUGAGCAAAUAGAGACCAUUCAAGCAGAGUUGAUUAGGUUAAAUGAACAAUUGAAAUCUCAAAGUAAUGAUGUUGAAAGGGAAAGAUUAGAGUCACUCAUUGGUGAUGUUCACUCCAAAAUACAGUCACUUCAAACAGCAAUGACAGAACCUAUUCCUUCCACUUCAAGAACAGAUGAACCCAGGAAAUCCUCACGAGAAAGAAAGUUAACUCCAAAAAUGCAGGAGCUUAAGCAGCAAGAAGUUUCUCAAAAGGAGAGUAAAUUCAUCAAGUUGUAUGAAAGCUGGAAAGACCAAGUUAAAGCUACACGUACCAAACUGAAGGGUGAGUGCUCGGACCAAGACUUAAGUGACCUGAUGGACAGUGUAGAGGGAAUGGAAAGUCAAGUGAAAAAUGUAUAUGAACUUAUAAGAUCUCAAUCAGUUCCUUCUACUGAGAUUAGAAGAAAAAUGGAUUCCUGUACAGCAGUGACUGCAGAUUUGAUGGGGCUAAUGAAAGUUCGUAUGAGUGAAGUGGGGCAAGAGGAAUUUGAUGCUAAUGCAGAAGAUGCAAGAAUUCAUAUGGUGCUUGACAAGGAGUAUGCUCAGUCGAUAUUUACGACUACAAGCUCUAAGUCUAUUCGUAGUCACCGUUCAAGCUCCUCAAUAGAUCAGCAAAGUAUCACUGCAAAAAGAGCAGAGUGUGCCGCACAGUUGGCUGCAAAGCAGGCAGAGAUAAAAAUGGAAGAGGCUAUUGCUACUCAAAGGCUAGAACUUAAAAGACUGGAGAAUCAGAGAGAUCUUCAGGUAAUAGCUGCAAAGCUCAAGGUAUACUCUGAAGCUGACUCAGGUGAGUCAUGUAAUGAUAGUAUAGCAGCAAGCAGUGAUUUAGCCAGUUGUCCUGUAAUGUCUUCUAAGGAAAUUAAAAAGGAACAGGCAUGCAAGAAUGAUAACCAGGAACAAAAAGACCAUAGUAAUGGUGAUGCAUCAAUAGUACAAGCCUUACAUGACACAAUGGUUCUCAGUAGACUUCCUGCACCUGAGCCCUCAGUUUUCAUAGGAGACCCACUUAAGUUCUUAGAGUGGAGAACAAGUUUCAAGGCAUUAAUAGAGCGGCGAUGCACAAAUCCAGCUGAUAAGUUGUUCUACCUACAAAAAUAUGUCAGUGGUGAGGCCCAGUCUGUAUUGGAAGGAAGCUUCUACAGAAAGGAUGAUGAAGCCUAUGAACAAGCAUGGGAAGCACUGAAUUCUCGGUAUGGCCAUCCAUUUGUAAUCCAGCGUGCAUUUAGAGAAAAACUGAAUGACUGGCCUAAGAUAAGCUCGAGAGAGUCAGUUAAAUUGAGACAAUUUAGUGAUUUUCUGACAGCCUGUAGCAAUGCCAUGCCACACAUUAAAGGGCUUCAGGUGUUAAAUGACUGUGAGGAGAAUCAGAAAAUGCUACAAAAACUCCCUGACUGGCUGACAUCUCGUUGGAAUCGGCAUGUAACAAUGCAGCUGAAACAAUUGGAGGAAUACCCUACUUUCAAGGAGUUUGCUGAUUUCGUGGCACAAGAAGCAGAAAUAGCAUGCAAUCCAGUAACAUCCUUUCAUGCCCUCAAGCUCACUCAAGAGAAGCCAUCUAGAGAGGUUAAGCGCUCAAAGGCAAAUGCAUUCAUCACUAAUGUGAAAGCGUCAGAUAAAUCAAGAAUAGUGUCAAAGACAUACAGUGUUGGAGUAAGCAAUUCAGUGGAUUCAAACCGAUCCGACAAAGUCAUCACUGUGCCUUCAGUUUCAAACUCAGUCACUUGCAGGUAUUGUGGGGAAAACCACUCCAUCCACAAAUGCCAAACGUUUGCCAGUAAGUCUGUGGAGGACAAAAGGAAGUUCAUAUUAGACAAUAACCUUUGCUUUGGCUGUCUUAGGAAAGGACACAACUCCAAGGAUUGCAAGAGUAAAGCUACUUGUAGUGUAUGCAAGAAACAUCAUCCAACACCACUUCAUGAAGACCGCCCUUCUUCUACAGCAGUCACAUUUUCUCAUGCAAUGCAAGCAGAACAAAACACAUCUUCACUUUCCUGUUGUGUAGACAGUGGCGAUGGUGGGAGUACAUCAAUGAUAGUGCCUGUAUGGAUUUCUUCAACUUCCACACCUGAAAGGGAGAUCUUGGUUUAUGCCCUUCUGGAUACACAGAGCAGCAACACCUUCGUGGAUCAAGAGGUAUGUGAGAGGAUGGGGGCAAUUUCAGAGCCAGUCAAGUUAAAGCUUACAACAAUGAUGGGAAAAGAUUCCAUUGUUCAGAGUGAAAGAGUUAGUGGGCUCAGAGUUAGAGGCUUUACUUCUUAUGGCUUAAUCAGUUUGCCACCUGCCUAUACUAGAGACUUCAUUCCACUUGAACGCUCCCACAUUCCUACUCCUGAAACUGCUAGAAGAUGGAAUCAUCUGAAAGAAAUUGCUCAGGAAAUUCCAAUGCUGCUGGAUUGUGAAGUCGGACUUCUGAUAGGUUACGAUUGCUCAAGAGCUUUGGCACCACGGCAAGUCAUCACAGGAGGUGAUGACGAACCAUAUGCCAUCAGGACAGACUUGGGUUGGAGCAUAGUUGGCUCCUCACCUAAGAUUGCAAAAUCAACUGAAGUUACAGGCCUGUGCCAUCGUGUAUCUGUUAAGGAACUCCCAAAUCUGACACCUACCUCAAUUAUCAGAGCCCUUGAAUCAGACUUUGGAGAUACAAAUCCAAGGGAAAGGAGCAUAUCACAAGAUGAUAUACAGUUCAUGCAACUUAUGAAUGAGAAAAUUCACAAGAACUCAGAGGGACACCUUGAGAUGCCCCUCCCCUUUAAGACACGCCCACAGUUACCUGAAAAUAAACAGCUGGCUCUGGUGCGAUUGAAGCGCCUGAAAGGAAAAUUUGAGAAAGACCCAAAAUUCAAGGAUGAUUAUGUAAAGUUUAUGGAAGGUGUCUUCAAGGAUGGCGAUGCGGAGAGAGUUGAACUCCAACCUAAAAAAGGAAAUGUCUGGUACAUUCCUCACCAGGGAGUAUAUCACCCUAAAAAGCCAGAGAAGAUUAGAGUUGUGUUUGAUUGCUCUGCCAAAUAUGAUGGCACCGCAUUAAAUGAUCACUUGUUAACUGGGCCUGAUCUCACUAACGGGCUAACAGGGGUACUUUGCAGGUUUCGCAAAUAUCCAAUAACAAUUAUCUGUGAUGUAGAAAGAAUGUUCCAUAGGUUCCAUGUAAGCCAGGAAGACAGAGAUUACUUACGGUUCCUGUGGUGGAAAAAUGGCGAUACAAACACUGAGCCAAAGGAGUAUCGCAUGAAAGUCCAUCUUUUUGGAGCAGCAUCCUCUCCUGGCUGCGCAAAUUAUGGAAUGAAGUAUCUUGCAUGUCAAAACGAAAGAGAGCAUCCUGCAGCAGCCAGUUUCAUCAAAAGUAAUUUCUACGUUGAUGAUGGGCUCAUUAGUGUGGAAAAUGUGGACACAGCUAUCAAACUAGUACAAGAAGCCCGAAUUGUGUGUGCAAAAGGGAAAUUGCGUCUACAUAAGUUCAUCUCAAAUGACAAAAAGGUCAUGGAGUCUAUACCUGUUAGUGAGCAAGCCAGCGGUGUUCAAGAUGUGGAGCUUGGCUCUGAUGAACUUCCAGUCCAGACGGUGUUGGGAGUUAAAUGGAGUGUAAAUAGUGACACCUUUUCCUUUAAAGUAGCCCUGGAUGAGAAACCAGCAACGCGGCGAGGAGUCCUCUCAACAGUCGCAUCUGUGUUUGAUCCAUUAGGCUUCCUGGCUCCCUUUCUCCUAUUAGGAAAGAAAGUAUUACAGGAGAUGUGUCAGAGGGGCAUUGAAUGGGAUGAUUCACUCCCCAAAGAGUUAAUGCCACAAUGGACUAGCUGGCUAAAUGAAUUGAAGGAUCUGCACAAUCUCCAGAUUGCAAGAUGCUUUGUUCCUGACUAUUUAGGGACUGUCCAGAGGAUCGAACUCCAUCACUUUUCAGAUGCGAGUAGCUAUGGCUAUGGUCAAUGCUCAUAUAUUCGAGUGUUGAGUGAAGACAAAGUGCACUGCUCCUUUGUCAUUGGCAAGGCAAGGGUUGCACCCACAAAAGUUGUGACCAUACCCAGGCUUGAGUUAACUGCUGCGGUGAUUUCUUCAGCAGUCAGUAGAAUGUUAAAGGAGGAGUUGGAGCUCAAAAUUGAUCAAGAAUAUUUUUGGACCGACUCAAAAGUAGUCUUAGGCUACAUUAACAAUGAAGCCCGUAGGUUUCAUGUUUUCGUAGCGAAUCGAGUCCAAAGAAUUAGAGAAACGACUGACCCUGAACAGUGGCAUUAUAUAGACUCUGAACAAAAUCCUGCAGAUCACGCUUCCAGGGGCCUCAAGGUGUCGGAGUUGAUAAAUUCGAAUUGGCUCACUGGACCUAAGUUUCUCUGGGAAAGAGAAAUUAUCACAUCAGAGACCACUCCAGAGCUUCUGAUUGGUGAUCCUGAAAUCAGGGCAACGCAAGUGCUACAAACAAAGGUAGCAAGUGAUGAAGAUUUUUUGGAGCGGUUCAAUAGGUUUUCGAAAUGGCACACUGCAUUGAAAGUUGUUGCUCGAAUUCAGCAGUUAGCGAGACACAAGGCAGGUAAACCCAUAAAUGUUGAAGAAAUGAGAAAUGCCAGCAUCAGGCUUGUAAAAUUGGCACAAAGGGAUGCCUUCAAAGAUGAGAUACAAAAAUUGAAACAAGGCAAAUUGCCAAAUAGUCACCCUUUGUUCCAACUUGACCCAGUACUGCAAGAUGGUGUUCUCAGGGUGGGAGGGCGAUUGAAGAAAGCUUUCCUACCUCUAGACACGAAGCACCCAGCAGUCCUUCCAAGAGAUGGUGUGGUCACCCGUCUCAUCGUGGAUUACUGCCAUGAAAAGACUCAACACCAAGGCAGAGGACAGACCCUUAAUGAACUGAGAGGAAAUGGUUACUGGGUUGUUGGUGGCAGCAAAGUUGUGGCUAACCUCAUUAAGCAAUGUGUUAUAUGCAGGAGAGCUCGCAGGCCAACAGAGACACAGAUGAUGGCGGAUCUACCUGCUAACCGUGUUGACUCCUCUCCACCAUUCUCUUACUGUGGGAUGGAUUGCUUUGGGCCGUUUCUAUGUAAGCAAGGACGGAAAGAACAAAAAAGAUAUGGUCUCAUAUUCACCUGCUUCUCCUCAAGAGCAAUCCAUAUAGAGAUGCUAGAAGAUCUAACCACUGAUGCCUUCAUAAACGCCUUGCGAUGUUUUAUUGCAAUCCGUGGAGCUGUAAGAGAAAUCAGAUCGGAUCAAGGGACAAACUUUGUUGGGGCAAAAAACGAGCUGACAAAGGCUUUGGAAGAAUUGGACAAGGAGAGAUUAACUGCUUACCUAUCCCAAAAGCAAUGUGAUUUCAUUUUGAACGUGCCUGAUGCCAGUCACAUGGGAGGGGUUUGGGAAAGGCAGAUCAGAACCAUUAGAAGUGUUCUAAGUUGGGUCCUUUCACAGAGUGCAGGAAGACUGGAUGAUGCCUCAUUGAGAACUUUCUUCUAUGAAGCCAUGUCAAUCAUAAAUAAUCGCCCACUCACCUCAAAUAACAUUAACGAUCCCAAAGGGCUAGAGCCACUUACCCCAAACCAUUUACUCACCAUGAAAUCUUCUGUCCCUCUGCCUCCACCUGGGAAAUUUGUGCCAGAGGACCUGUAUGCGAGGAAGAGGUGGCGCAGAGUACAAUAUCUGACACAGCAAUUUUGGAGUAGAUGGAGGAAGGAAUAUCUGGCAAACAUCAUCCUUAGACAACGGUGGCACUCUCCAAGACGAAAUGUAAAGAUUGGAGAUAUUGUCAUUGUCAAGGAGGAACAGCUUCCCCGCAAUGAAUGGAGACUUGGACUAGUGCUUGAUGCUUGUGCAGAUGAAGACGGAUUGGUGCGAAAAGCCAAAAUUCAAAUAGGAAAUAGGAAGUUAGGGAAAAAGGGUCAACGACUGACUAAUCCAUCAAUUCUUGAGCGUCCUAUUCAUAAAUUAGUAGUACUUGUAGAGAACAAUUAAAUCUGAUUUAUUGUCUGAUCUUGAGACUUUUAAGUGUCACAAGUUCAUCUGGUAGUCUUGAACCAAGAGUCAGAGAUAUGUGAUUCUAAUAUCUGGUUUGUGAAAUUACUAAUUUUUCAAACAUUUACGUAAAGUUAAUCACAAAUUGUAGUAAUUUGGUGGGAGUGUAACUGUCAAAAGACAUGUUUUUCAAAGAUAUGUGUAUUAUUUAUGUUUGUUUAAACAGUCUAAUCAAUUUGAGUUCAUUUAUUGUUUAAAGUAGAGAAUGUGCUCCCUUAGAAUGUUUAAUGUCAUGGGUUCUUUAAGAAAGAGUUAAUAUCAAAGCGUAACAGGUCAUAUGACCAGGUUGAGUUGAACGCGGGACCGCUGCAUUAUGGGUUGAAGAAACAUGGAUGCAGAGUAAUGUUAAUGGUAUACAGAGCCUGGAAAGGAGUAACCUUUAUCUGCAUGGUCUAAGAGGGCGCACACGUUUUCACGGUGUCUGCUGGAAAGAGACAGAGACAUAGAGACAAAUAAACAGCAAAAAGGACAUCUGUAUGAAGCGUGGCUCAUUUCAUUAGACCAGUGCAGUUACAAUGUGAAUGCUGGACAUUAAUGAGAAAUAUUUGACAUGAUAAAAUGCAAUAAACAGGAAGUUCCAGCAAAAGGGUUUGAAAACCUAAGAUCUUAUUUUAUACUUUGACUUUUAAUCCAGCAAGUGAUAGUGUAAAAAAUAAUGUUUCUUGUUUUUUUAAUUUUUCUGAACCAGUUUGACCUUUGUUCUUUGCUUUGUUUGUUUACUGUUUGAGACACAUUUCUAUAAUU
Molecule: RNA transcript, 7756 nt
Organism: Carassius auratus (goldfish)
Lineage: Eukaryota; Metazoa; Chordata; Actinopteri; Cypriniformes; Cyprinidae
Gene name: carboxypeptidase N subunit 2
Exons: 3
Source: RefSeq, a predicted model, not a curated record